Long non-coding RNA from Bufo gargarizans (Asiatic toad), 420 nucleotides. RefSeq lists it as uncharacterized. The record is from RefSeq and is a predicted model, not a curated record. Lineage: Eukaryota; Metazoa; Chordata; Amphibia; Anura; Bufonidae. The transcript has 3 exons.
GUCAUACAGUCCAAGAAGAUACUUAUGCUGAUGGAUGCAAUGGGAGACGAAAGAAACUAUAUUUUUAGAGUAAACCACAACUGGAAUUUGCCAAGGAGUUCCUGCAGUUGAGGUCAAUCUCUGAAGUACCAACGUCUGCUGAAUAUAUAACUAAGUCAAGACUCGAAUUAGCGUGUGCCCUACUGCAGUAUAAAGAUGAGGGAGAUCAUCUGAAUUGAAGAAGACUUUGCUGAUUCCGGUGACAUAGGAGACAACAGCAGACUUCCACUUAGCCGGUUUCAAACACAUGUUGCAGACACGACUGAACCGUCUCCCAGUGACCAUGUUGGAAACCAAGUUGCCUUUUACGAGCCAAUUUAUAAUUAAAUUAUCAUACAUGACGUGUAAAGUGCUUAUAAUUUUGUUGUACAUUAAAGUAUA